This 569-nucleotide long non-coding RNA is filed under the name Homo sapiens (human). Its description in RNAcentral is "non-protein coding lnc-POTEB3-13:2". The record is from RNAcentral. Lineage: Eukaryota; Metazoa; Chordata; Mammalia; Primates; Hominidae.
AUUUCAAGCUCUUCUGUGUCUAGAGGAAGAGCUACCCCGUGACCGGCUUAGAGAACUGGAAGAGGCCGCAACCUUUCUCCUGCUUGAAGCUGGAGGAUGGAUGGAGUCUGGAGCCCUGGAGCGUGGGACACUGUUUCGCUGUGGUUGGUGGUGGCGACAGAGCAGUAGGAGAGCGCCCGGCAGCGGGAGCUUCUCCUGCUGGGCUGGAGGACUAGGAGAAGGAAGAGGCACUGCCACAUGCUGGAGGCUGGAACCUGUGCCACCGUGGCUGGCCUGGCUCUGGUUGGUUCGCCUCGCUGUGGUUGGUGGUGACGUCGGAGACUGCAGCUCGGUCACAGUGGUAGAAAUGUGAUGGGGUAGGGAAGUUGGAAAUAGGCAAGAAUGGAGAGAAAUUUUGUAUGGCAGUACACAGAAUUUUGCAAGUUUAUUGUGAGCCUUGCAACAAUCCGAUGCAUUUUAGUUACUGGUAAGUUUGUUGAAUUAUGUUUGAAAAUGUACCUCUUCAAAGAUGGCCAUCUAUUUACUAUUACGUCCACCAUGUCAAUUAUACCUUAUUGUAAAGAUUUUUU